UACGUAGGGGCCAAGCGUUGUCCGGAAUCAUUGGGCGUAAAGGGCGUGUAGGCGGUCUGAUAAGUCAGAUGUUAAAUCUACGAGCUCAACUCGUAGCCGCAUCUGAUACUGUCAGGCUAGAGAAUGGUAGAGGAAAGCGGAACUUCCGGUGUAGCGGUGAAAUGCGUAGAUAUCGGAAGGAACACCAGUGGCGAAGGCGGCUUUCUGGGCCAUUUCUGACGAUGAGACGCGAAAGCUAGGGGAGCGAACGGG
This 252-nucleotide ribosomal RNA is filed under the name uncultured bacterium. Its description in RNAcentral is "partial 16S ribosomal RNA". It matches the Rfam family "Bacterial small subunit ribosomal RNA", at positions 524 to 776 of the family's 1533-position model. The record is from RNAcentral.